This 1180-nucleotide long non-coding RNA is filed under the name Equus caballus (horse). RNAcentral's name for it is "lncRNA (ENSECAG00000058533.1)". The record is from RNAcentral. Lineage: Eukaryota; Metazoa; Chordata; Mammalia; Perissodactyla; Equidae.
CUAACUUCUAGGGUUUCCAUCUCGCUCUCUCUCUCUCUCUCUCUCUCACACACACACACACACACACACACAGCCUGAUCUAUCUAGGGGCUUGCAGCUCCAGCCCCCAUGUUUACUUUCCCCGUAUGAAAGUUCAUAUAUUGAUUAUUCAGCUGAUCAGACAAUUCUCUGGUGACAUUUUGCUAGAGGCUUGGGCGUCAGAUAUUGUGUAAACGGGGAUCAGAAAUAAACGUCUGGGGCAGGCUAAGUCUCACUUAGAAUGCUUCUCCUAUUCUAUUUUGAAACUGGUGCUAUGAUUUUUUUUUUUUAAUGGCUGGAGCAAUCCGGAAACAGAUUAAAUCAUUCGCUUUUUCUUUUUUAACUUGAUUUACUGGUACACUCUGCGUAAGAAAUUGGAACUGUAGCACAGAAUGUUGCACUGGGGUUAAACAAUGGUGGGAAUGGAAAUGGUUUCUUCCGAGAAGCCUAGAUAAAGUACUCGGGUACUGAUAACUGGCUCACAAAGAGGCUGAGCCGGGAGGUCCUGACUCUCGACGGCAUCCGAGCCCCAGCUGCAUCCACUCCUCCUUUAAUUCCUCAUUCAGUUGGUGCCUUUCACAGGAGGCUCUCCCCAGGCACCCUCUGCACCCUCAUGGGCUGGCCGAGUUCAUGCACCAGAAACGGAUGCAAAUCCUAGCUGGGAGCUAACUCACCAUGUCAUCCUGAUCCUGAUGGCCCUGUUUCCUCAUCUGUGAGAUGGAAUGGUGCUCUGACCUGCAGCAGAAUGUUCCUUAGAGACUUUAAAGAACCAAUCAGAUGCCCAUCUGACCAAGCCCCCAUCUCAAGACCUUACUGCUCUCUCUUCUAAACACUUUUUUGAUGACUGUGGAAAGAUGAACAAACCCGUGCACCCUAGUCAGAAGACAUACCUGCUCUGUGGCAGGACAGUGAUGCUCAUCAACCACUCAGGUGUUCCCCUGCAUCCGCCCACCUCCCCUGCACUUAGGUCCAGGCCAUGGGCUGUCUAAUGGCCACUGGCACUUCGGUCUAGGGCAGUUGGGACAGUUGGGAGUUCUCUCUACCAUCACUGUGACUUGCAGGAAAAACCUGAGAUGGUCGAGUUGCAAGACAGAACUGCCCGGAUCCUGGAGCCACUGUGAGGAAAGUCACUAUGGAGAGCUGCCUGAUUUGUAUUAUGCUA